This 2006-nucleotide unclassified non-coding RNA is filed under the name Hevea brasiliensis (rubber tree). The record is from RNAcentral. Lineage: Eukaryota; Viridiplantae; Streptophyta; Magnoliopsida; Malpighiales; Euphorbiaceae.
GGUGGGGUAUUGGGCAUCUAGAGGUCUACUAGCUCUGCAUUAUUUAAGACAGGCCCGCUUUGUGAAGUAACGCAUUCCAGCAAGAGCGAUAACCAAGGUUUGCAAGAUGGAUAGAUCACUCUCCGCUGACCCUGAAUCAAAAAUAUCAAUCUCUGGUGCCAGAAAAAGAGGCAGCUGGAUCACCUUCCCUUUUAUUAUUGGGGCUUUUGCCUGCUUGACACUUGCUGGUGCAGGAUGGGCAGCCAACCUGAUUGUUUAUCUUAUUGAGGAAUUCAAUGUGAAAAGUAUUGAUGCUACCCAAAUUUCCAAUGUGGUUAAUGGUGGCUCCAAUUUAGUUCCAAUUUUUGGAGCUAUAGUUGCCGACUCUUUCUUGGGCUCUUUCUCUGUCAUCAUUAUAUCUUCUUGCAUCUCCUCUGUGGGCUUGGUGCUUUUGGCCUUAACUGCACUACUUGACUCCCUGAGGCCUGAACCCUGUGAAGAUGGAUCGAGCUUAUGCCAAACCCCAUCAAAACUCCAAUAUGCAGUCCUAUAUGGAGCCUUUGUUCUGGCAUCUACAGGCAUGGGAGGAUCAAGAUUUACUUUAGCAACAAUGGGAGCAAACCAAUUUAAUAAACCAGAAGAUCAGGGCAUUUUUUUCAACUGGUUUUUCUUCACCUUCUACUUUGUUUCCCUGAUUGGUGCCACAGCCGUCGUCUAUAUAGAGGAUAAUGUUAGCUGGGGAUUCGGGUUGGGACUAUGUGUUGCUGCUAAUUUCAUUGGUCUACUCAUUUUCAUUUUGGGAACUCGUCUCUAUCGACAUGAUAAGCCUCAAGGAAGCCCUUUCACAGGCUUAGCCCGUGUAGUUGUUGCUGCUAUACAAAAGAGGAAGGUCUUGUUGUCUUCCAAAAGUGAGGACUAUUACUAUGACCAUGAUACGAAGCCGAAAGAGCUAGCUGCUCCGAUGUCAAAGCGCUUCAGGUUCUUCAACCGAGCAGCGCUCAAAGCUGAAGGAGACAUCAAACCUGAUGGCUCCAUUACAAAACCCUGGAGACUAUGCACAGUAUCACAGGUAGAAGAUUUCAAGACUCUGAUCAGAAUUUUCCCAAUGUGGUCUACCAGUAUAUUUCUAGCCACUCCAAUCGCAAUGCAAAGCAGCUUGACAGUCCUCCAAGCUCUAACCAUGGACCGUCACCUUGGACAACAUUUCAAAAUCCCAGCUGGUUCUAUUUUAGUCAUAGUAUUAAUCAGUACAGCCAUCUUUCUCACCAUAAUUGAUCGCUUUGUCUAUCCACUGUGGCAGAACCUAACGCACAAAUCCCCUACGCCAUUCCAAAGAAUUGGAGUAGGUCAUGUGCUUAAUGUGUUGAGCAUGGCUGUGUCAGCUUUAGUGGAGUCAAGGAGGCUCCGAAUAGCCCAUGCUCAGCACCACCAGGACCAAGGAAGUUCUGUUGUGCCAAUGUUGGCCUUGUGGCUGUUUCCACAACUAAUUUUGGUUGGCAUUGGAGAAGGAUUUCAUUUUCCUGGACAAGUUGCUUUGUAUUACCAAGAAUUUCCAACCUCACUGCGUAGUACAGCAACUGCCAUGAUUUCUUUGAUCAUUGGGAUUUCUUUCUAUUUAAGUACAGCAUUGAUUGAUCUUAUUAGAAGGGUAACAGAUUGGUUACCUGAUAAUAUAAAUGAAGGGAGGCUAGAUAAUGUGUAUUGGGUGCUGGUGGUAAUGGGGGUACUCAACUUUGGUUAUUAUCUAGUUUGUGCCAAGUUGUACAAGUACCAGGAUGUUGAAAAGGUAGUGGAUGAGAGUUCUUAAGGUUCGGCUGAGUGGAGUUGAUGGUGGACAAAACGUGCAAGAAGCUUGAAUAUGGCAAUCACUAUCUUCUUCCUCUCUGUCUCUCUGUAAUUUUUUUUUACUUUGAUUUUUUGCACUAUAAAAAUUUAGAAUAAGUGAUAUAACGGUUUUAUUAAUAAUAAAGUAGAAUUAAUAAAGGUCAAAAAGUUGAGGAUUUAAUUAAUAAUUUUUCUAGUAUGCU